AUGAACGCUGGCGGCGUGCUUAACACCUGCAAGUCGAACGAAGCACUUUAUUUGAUUUCCUUCGGGACUGAUUAUUUUGUGACUGAGUGGCGGACGGGUGAGUAACGCGUGGGUAACCUGCCUUGUACAGGGGGAUAACAGUUGGAAACGGCUGCUAAUACCGCAUAAGCGCACGGCAUCGCAUGAUGCAGUGUGAAAAACUCCGGUGGUAUAAGAUGGACCCGCGUUGGAUUAGCUAGUUGGUGAGGUAACGGCCCACCAAGGCGACGAUCCAUAGCCGAGCUGAGAGGGUGACCGGCCACAUUGGGACUGAGACACGGCCCAAACUCCUACGGGAGGCAGCAGUGGGGAAUAUUGCACAAUGGGCGAAAGCCUGAUGCAGCGACGCCGCGUGAGCGAAGAAGUAUUUCGGUAUGUAAAGCUCUAUCAGCAGGGAAGAUAAUGACGGUACCUGACGAAGAAGCACCGGCUAAAUACGUG
Molecule: ribosomal RNA, 480 nt
Filed under: uncultured bacterium
Lineage: Bacteria
Description: partial 16S ribosomal RNA
Rfam family: Bacterial small subunit ribosomal RNA
Source: RNAcentral